Molecule: long non-coding RNA, 564 nt
Filed under: Gossypium barbadense (sea-island cotton)
Lineage: Eukaryota; Viridiplantae; Streptophyta; Magnoliopsida; Malvales; Malvaceae
Description: long non-coding RNA (GBAR_LNC016041)
Source: RNAcentral
AAAAAUGAGCGAUUGUUUAUUUAGAAGUAGGAGCUUCCUUUGUUGGGACUUUAGUCGUUUCGAAUCUAUAGAUGAAGAUGGGGUCCAGGAUAUAAUCUGUGUGAAUAUAUACUGAGUUUUAUGCAUUAUUCAACAUGAUAGGUUAAAAGCAAUCUAUAGUGAGACAGGCUUUUAUGCGAUUUCAUUUCCAAUUUCUCCCUCUCACUUUAAAAAAAAAACAAUAAUCUUGAUACUGUAUUUAAAAACUAGCUUUCAUUGAACGCUUACCCCAAGUAUAACAUUCUUUGAUUGUAUAUGUCUGUAAAAAUUAAAAUAUAGAGCAAUUUGUAUGCACAUAUCGCGAUGAGACAAGUUCCUGCAGCAAUGAGCAAUGUCAAGUUCCUACUCCUCGUCCAUUAAGGUGUUGGUCCCUAUCAUGCUGGCGGUGCAGCAGUAUGACCUCAUAAUACACGACUCAGCAGCAUCAGUCAUCCUUUGUUGAGUUUUACUGGGGGUACAGGAUGUUUAAGGGAAAAAGCAUUUUUGAAAAAUAGGCCCCCGUACUCAACAUUUUCUUUGGCGCAG